Molecule: long non-coding RNA, 1264 nt
Organism: Callithrix jacchus (white-tufted-ear marmoset)
Lineage: Eukaryota; Metazoa; Chordata; Mammalia; Primates; Cebidae
Source: Ensembl
GUCAACGUUGACUCCUCUUUUCUGCUUUGUGCAACUAUAUGGAUGACAGUGUCUCUUACUCAGGAAGAACACUGGAGGGACACCAGAUCUGGUAGGAAAGAGCAGAGAUCGGAAGUGCAUGGGUGCAGGAUCCACCUUGGAAGUGGAUCUUCCAGUCCCAAAAAUGCCUUCGGAUGACCUCAGCUCCAGCAGACAUCUGACUGCAACUUGAGAGAUCUCAGCAGAAUCACGCUGCUAAGCUGCUCCUGAAUUCCAUACCCCCAGAAAAUAUGAAGGAUAAUAAAUGAUGAUUCUUGUUUCAACUUACUAAGUGUUAGAGUGAUCUGUUACAUAGUAACAAAUAAUAAAAAGAGAUACUCUAUAUUUCUAUCUGUAAAGCACUUAGAACAGACUGACACUCAUACCAGUCCUAUGAGAUAAGGAUUAUUUAAUAUCUGUGUUAAAAAAAAAAAGAAGGCAAAACAAGAUAGUGAGAAGUUAAGUACAUAGCCAGGGUCACUCAUUUAACAAGUAGAAGAACAGGGAUACAAACAAGAGGGUCUGGCUCCAACGUCUGCGCUCUUAGCCACUAUAAUGUCCCACCUCAAGUGUGGGAGCUACUUUGAGAAGAAAGUACUUGCACUUCUAAACUUACUCUGAAUAAUACUUUGUACCCUAAAAAACUUACUCUCUGUUUUGGCAUUUAAGCGUGUGACUUUUUAGAAGUUGACUCCAGUUCAGAACAUGAUUUUUGAUUUGUAGUAUACAUUACCUUCUUCCAGAAAACACAUUUAUAAUUUUAUAAAGUAACACUGGGAAAAAGUAUUCCAUGAUCAAAAGUUCACUUCACUGCUAAGCUACUUGGGAGCACACACAUUCCUCAAAGCAAGACUCCUCUUUCAGCCCAUUGGUGAUGUUUACUCCUCCUCAGGGCAUGGAUGAGACUCUGGUGGAAAUACAUAAACAGCUAGUAGCCAAUCUUCUUUGAAUUCCUAAAACCCUAGUUAAUCUGCAUAAUUCGGCAUUAGUGAUGCUCUUAUAUUUUUGGCCUGUUCUGUUAACCAUCUCCUUAGCUCAAUGUUCAGCUCUCUGAGUGAAAGACUAAUGGCUCACAACUUCUCUAUCCUCUGUAGUAGGCUCCCAAAUGUUUGAUUAUUUAAGACACCCCAAACUUUCAAAACUGAAAGUCAUUCUAUUCGUUCUCUGAACCGCUCUGAAUUCCACCAGUUUCUCUUGCUUCUAGAGUCCAGCAUUUCUGUGCUGAGAGUUGUUCCGUCCUCCCUAA